GACGAACGCUGGCGGCGUGCUUAACACAUGCAAGUCGAACGAGAAUCUACUGAAAGAGUUUUCGGACAAUGGAUGUAGAGGAAAGUGGCGGACGGGUGAGUAACGCGUGAGGAACCUGCCUUGAAGAGGGGGACAACAGUUGGAAACGACUGCUAAUACCGCAUGAUGCAUAGGGGUCGCAUGAUUCUUAUGCCAAAGAUUUAUCGCUUCAAGAUGGCCUCGCGUCUGAUUAGCUAGUUGGCGGGGUAACGGCCCACCAAGGCGACGAUCAGUAGCCGGACUGAGAGGUUGAACGGCCACAUUGGGACUGAGAUACGGCCCAGACUCCUACGGGAGGCAGCAGUGGGGAAUAUUGGGCAAUGGGCGCAAGCCUGGCCCAGCAACGCCGCGUGAAGGAAGAAGGCUUUCGGGUUGUAAACUUCUUUGUUCAGGGACGAGUAGAAGACGGUACCUGACGAAUAAGCCACGGCUAACUACGUG
Molecule: ribosomal RNA, 480 nt
Filed under: uncultured bacterium
Lineage: Bacteria
Description: bacterial SSU rRNA
Rfam family: Bacterial small subunit ribosomal RNA
Source: RNAcentral